CAGCCGCCGCGGUAAUACGUAGGGGGCGAGCGUUGUCCGAAGUUACUGGGCGUAAAGCGCGCGUAGGCGGCUUCUUAAGUCUGAGGUGAAAGGUUCAACGCUUAACGUGAACAGUGCCUUGGAUACUGGGGAGCUUGGGUAUGGGAGAGGGCAGUGGAAUGGCUGGUGUAGCGGUGAAAUGCGUAGAUAUCAGUCGGAACACCCAUGGCGAAGGCAGCUGCCUGGCCUAAUACUGACGCUGAGGUGCGAAAGCGUGGGGAGCGAACGGGAUUAGAGACCCCCGUAGUCCCUGUCUCUUAUA
This 301-nucleotide ribosomal RNA is filed under the name uncultured bacterium. RNAcentral's name for it is "partial 16S ribosomal RNA". It matches the Rfam family "Bacterial small subunit ribosomal RNA", at positions 509 to 808 of the family's 1533-position model. The record is from RNAcentral.